CACUCCUACGGGAGGCAGCAGUGAGGAAUAUUGGACAAUGGGUGGAAGCCUGAUCCAGCCAUCCCGCGUGCAGGAAGACGGCCCUAUGGGUUGUAAACUGCUUUUAUCUGGGGAUAAACCUACUUACGUGUAAGUAGCUGAAGGUACCAGAAGAAUAAGCACCGGCUAACUCCGUGCCAGCAGCCGCGGUAAUACGGAGGGUGCAAGCGUUAUCCGGAUUUAUUGGGUUUAAAGGGUCCGUAGGCGGACUGAUAAGUCAGUGGUGAAAUCCGACAGCUUAACUGUCGAACUGCCAUUGAUACUGUUAGUCUUGAGUAAGGUUGAAGUGGCUGGAAUAAGUAGUGUAGCGGUGAAAUGCAUAGAUAUUACUUAGAACACCAAUUGCGAAGGCAGGUCACUAAGUCUUAACUGACGCUGAUGGACGAAAGCGUGGGGAGCGAACAGGAUUAGAAACCCUUGUAGUCCCAU
RNAcentral lists this ribosomal RNA (468 nucleotides) under uncultured organism. RNAcentral's name for it is "partial 16S ribosomal RNA". It matches the Rfam family "Bacterial small subunit ribosomal RNA", at positions 334 to 798 of the family's 1533-position model. The record is from RNAcentral.